CGUUAAUUGCUAAACAAUCAAUUGUCCAAGCUCAAACAAAGUGUUAUUCGUCUCGUUACUUGACGACAUUUGUGAACCUACGGCCUAUUUAGCAGUUCUUUCGGUUUGGUUCGAGUUUAAUUAUCGGUAACGACGAAGAAAACUUCAAAACCACUCAUUCGAAUGGUGGUCCUCCUUCUCAUGUGCGGACAUCUAGUCAAUCGUAACGUGAAUAGAGAGAUUAUUCCAUGGGCGGAGACAUCUCCUUGGCCCCUCAAAGCAACAGUAGCAGGUUCUUCAAAAGAAAUACCGGCCCAGUUGUAUUUAAAUCCCUAGUAACUCUGGACAAAUUACCCUUCCGGUUGGGAAUCCAAGUAUACAUGGAAGAGGACUCUGCCAUCUUCCUUGUAUUCAGUGAUGGCUCCGGCCAGGCCCAGGUAGCAAAAGUAUUUUCAUUGGACAGGAGUUGAGCGUUACGUUGGGAGUAAACGAGCAAACCAUCGAGUGCAGGGUAUGAUUGGAGGGCAGAAUCUGUACCGGCGGUGUGGUUGGGGUUGGAUACAAAGGCUCGAGAGACGUUGCUAAUGGUUUCUCCAAUAGAGCGGGCAGCGUUGCCGUGGAGGGAAUGACUUCGAUCUUGCCGUCGUCGGUGCGGGAGAUGUAUCGAGCAUCGUGCUGGUAAGCGAAUCGAGCUUCAGGUUCGGUUUUGAAAGAAGGAUCAGUUGUGGAAACCACCCAGUCGUCAGACGGCACCUCCGCUAGUAUCGUUGACCUUGAAGAUAGAAGCAUAAUUUCGCGCAGAGAUGAAUGAAAUUCCC
Molecule: small RNA, 797 nt
Filed under: Cryptococcus neoformans H99
Lineage: Eukaryota; Fungi; Basidiomycota; Tremellomycetes; Tremellales; Cryptococcaceae
Description: Cryptococcus neoformans var. grubii H99 hypothetical RNA
Source: RNAcentral